CAGUGGGAGAUGGCAGAGCCCAGGCCCCCUGACUCCCCAAUCCAGGACUCUUUUCACUGCAUUCCUACUGCCUCUUUUUGGUAUGUAGGUCGGACUCUUCCCAACAUCAGCAUCAAAGCCUGAGGCACGCCUAGAGGAGGACACUGAAGAAGUAGGGUGCUUGGACCAGGCCUCUGGCCAGUGCAGUGUUACAACUGAAAGGAAUCAGGGAUCACCUGAUCUAGUGGUUUUUAACCUGGGUCUAUGAGCUUGGGGUCUUCUUUUGGGACAGGGUCGCCCAGGCUGGGAGUGCAGGGACCACUCACGGGCAGGCCCAGCUCUCAUCAGCACCACAGCCCUGCCCUGGGCCUUCCUCAGACCACCCAAGGUCUAGGGGCCAAACUCAGAGCAGACACCGACUUGACCCAGUUCACUGCAGCUCAGCACCUCUGAGCUCAACCCACCGACUGCCAGUCUUUGCCUCUCUAGUAGCAGGGAUCAUAAGCAUGCCUCACCAUGCCCAGCUGUGAACGUUAAAAACAUUUUGUGAUAACUUUAUCUUGAUGUCAUUGGUUUCCUUUAUAAUCCUAUGGAUUUCAUGCAUUUAAAGCCAUUCUGGGAAGGGGUCUGCAGGCUUCACCAGACUGCCAAGGGGGCCUAUGACAUAGAAGGAGUUCUAGUUCAGAGGGAUGCGAGAUUGAGAGAGAAGUGAAUGACUUAAGGUCAUCAGACAAAAAGAGGCAGAGUUGUGAUUUGAACCCAGGUCUUCUGACUCUUUUGGGGUUAAGAGGCAUGGGCAGGCCAUGCAUCCUACAGGACCCAGAGCAUUGGCUGGAGGCAGGUAAUUGAGAUUGUAGGGUUCUGCAUCAGCCUCUCCCCGAGGACCUCAAAGGACCAUCUGGUGGGCUGGAAGCAGGUCGGGGGAGGAGGCCGUGAUGUUCUCACCAUGGGGACGGGCCCUUGGGAGGGGCCAAUGGGCCUGCUAGGGAGAAAUGUUGCCAUGGCAACUGGAGGGCCCUUGAAAAGCUUCAUCAUAGAAGGGAUUGUGUGCAUGUGUGUGUGUGGGGUGACACUCGGUAGGUCACUCAGUGACCCUCUUGUACCAAAUGGGCUGUGGCUUGCAGUUUCCUCUGGUGCUGGUGGAAGAGGCAAGGCUCACCACCCCAGCGGGCUCCCUCUGGACCAAACCCCUUCCACCGGAGCAAACCCUUUCUGA
RNAcentral lists this long non-coding RNA (1195 nucleotides) under Phascolarctos cinereus (koala). RNAcentral describes it as "lncRNA (ENSPCIG00000034113.1)". The record is from RNAcentral. Lineage: Eukaryota; Metazoa; Chordata; Mammalia; Diprotodontia; Phascolarctidae.